RNAcentral lists this ribosomal RNA (377 nucleotides) under uncultured bacterium. RNAcentral's name for it is "partial 16S ribosomal RNA". It matches the Rfam family "Bacterial small subunit ribosomal RNA", at positions 338 to 732 of the family's 1533-position model. The record is from RNAcentral.
CCUACGGGUGGCAGCAGUAGGGAAUAUUGCUCAAUGGGGGAAACCCUGAAGCAGCAACGCCGCGUGGAGGACGAAGGUUUUCGGAUCGUAAACUCCUUUUGUUAGAGAAGAUAAUGACGGUAACUAACGAAUAAGCACUGGCUAACUCCGUGCCAGCAGCCGCGGUCAUACGGGGGGUGCAAGCGUUACUCGGAAUGACUGGGCGUAAAGUGCACGGAGGCGGGGUUGCAAGUCAGAUGUGAAAUCCUAUGGCUUAACCAUAGUACUGCAUGUGAAACUGUUAUUCUAGAGUAUGGGAGAGGUAGGUGGAAUUCUUGGUGUAGGGGUAAAAUCCGUAGAGAUCAAGAGGAAUACUCAUUGCGAAGGCGACCUGCUAG